AGAGUUUGAUCCUGGCUCAGGAUGAACGCUGGCGGCGUGCCUAACACAUGCAAGUCGAACGGAACUUACAAGCGGAAGUUUUCGGAUGGAAGCUUAUAAGUUUAGUGGCGGACGGGUGAGUAACGCGUGAGCAAUCUACCUCUCAGUGGGGGAUAACACAUCGAAAGGUGUGCUAAUACCGCAUAAUAUAACGGGAUCGCAUGGUUCUGUUAUCAAAGAUUUAUUGCUGAGAGAUGAGCUCGCGUCUGAUUAGAUAGUUGGUGAGGUAACGGCUCACCAAGUCGACGAUCAGUAGCCGGACUGAGAGGUUGAACGGCCACAUUGGGACUGAGACACGGCCCAGACUCCUACGGGAGGCAGCAGUGGGGAAUAUUGCACGAUGGGGGAAACCCUGAUGCAGCAACGCCGCGUGAAGGAUGAAGGUUUUCGGAUUGUAAACUUCUUUUGUACGGGACGAAACAAAUGACGGUACCGUAAGAAUAAGCCACGGCUAACUACGUGCCAGCAGCCCGCGGUAAUACGUAGGUGGCAAGCGUUAUCCGGAUUUACUGGGUGUAAAGGGAGAGUAGGCGGGACUGCAAGUCAGAUGUGAAAACUAUGGGCUUAACCCAUAGACUGCAUUUGAAACUGUGGUUCUUGAGUGAUGGAGAGGCAGGCGGAAUUCCCGGUGUAGCGGUGGAAUGCGUAGAUAUCGGGAGGAACACCAGUGGCGAAGGCGGCCUGCUGGACAUUAACUGACGCUGAGGCGCGAAAGUGUGGGGAGCAAACAGGAUUAGAUACCCUGGUAGUCCACACUGUAAACGAUGGAUACUAGGUGUGGGGGGUACUGACCCCCUCCGUGCCGGAGUUAACACAAUAAGUAUCCCACCUGGGGAGUACGAUCGCAAGGUUGAAACUCAAAGGAAUUGACGGGGGCCCGCACAAGCAGUGGAGUAUGUGGUUUAAUUCGAAGCAACGCGAAGAACCUUACCAGGGCUUGACAUGGUACUAACGAAGUAGAGAUACAUUAGAUGCCCUUCGGGGAAAGUACACACAGGUGGUGCAUGGUUGUCGUCAGCUCGUGUCGUGAGAUGUUGGGUUAAGUCCCGCAACGAGCGCAACCCUUAUUGUUAGUUGCUACGCAAGAGCACUCUAGCGAGACUGCCGUUGACAAAACGGAGGAAGGUGGGGACGACGUCAAAUCAUCAUGCCCUUUAUGUCCUGGGCUACACACGUACUACAAUGGCGGUCAUACAGAGGGAAGCAAGACAGCGAUGUGGAGCAAACCCCUAAAAGCCGCCUCAGUUCAGAUUGCAGGCUGCAACUCGCCUGCAUGAAGUCGGAAUUGCUAGUAAUCGCGGAUCAGCAUGCCGCGGUGAAUAUGUUCCCGGGCCUUGUACACACCGCCCGUCACACCAUGAGAGCCGAUAAUACCCGAAGUCCAUAGUCUAACCGCAAGGAGGGCGUGGCCGAAGGUAGGAUUGGUAAUUGGGGUGAAGUCGUAACAAGGUAACC
RNAcentral lists this ribosomal RNA (1494 nucleotides) under uncultured bacterium. RNAcentral describes it as "bacterial SSU rRNA". It matches the Rfam family "Bacterial small subunit ribosomal RNA". The record is from RNAcentral.